GGUUUCUCUUCAGAUCAUAUAAAUCUUUCACAUUUUACCAAAGAUUUCUGUGGAGAAGAACAAGUUA
RNAcentral lists this small nuclear RNA (67 nucleotides) under Podiceps cristatus (great crested grebe). Its description in RNAcentral is "U5 spliceosomal RNA". It matches the Rfam family "U5 spliceosomal RNA", at positions 8 to 74 of the family's 117-position model. From Rfam's summary of the family: U5 RNA is a component of both types of known spliceosome. The precise function of this molecule is unknown, though it is known that the 5' loop is required for splice site selection and p220 binding, and that both the 3' stem-loop and the Sm site are important for Sm protein binding and cap methylation. The record is from Rfam by way of RNAcentral. Lineage: Eukaryota; Metazoa; Chordata; Aves; Podicipediformes; Podicipedidae.